GGGGAAUCUUGCGCAAUGGGCGAAAGCCUGACGCAGCGACGCCGCGUGGGUGACGAAGGCCUUCGGGUUGUAAAGCCCUGUGGGGUAGAACGAACUGGCAUCGGGCUAAUAUCUCGGUGUCUUGACGGUACUGCCUUAGCGAGCAUCGGCUAACUCUGUGCCAGCAGCCGCGGUAAGACAGAGGAUGCGAACGUUGCUCGGAUUUACUGGGCGUAAAGCGCGUGUAGGCGGUCUCGUUAGUCGGGUGUGAAAGCCCCGGGCUCAACCCGGGAAGUGCACCCGAUACUGCGAGACUGGGGUACUGAAGAGGAGAGCGGAAUUCCCGGUGUAGAGGUGAAAUUCGUAGAUAUCGGGAGGAACACCAGUGGCGAAGGCGGCUCUCUGGGCAGAUACCGACGCUGAGACACGAAAGCGUGGGGAGCAAAC
Molecule: ribosomal RNA, 426 nt
Filed under: uncultured bacterium
Lineage: Bacteria
Description: bacterial SSU rRNA
Rfam family: Bacterial small subunit ribosomal RNA
Source: RNAcentral